GGGGGUGGCCCGGCCCGGGAAUGAUCUGGCAGGUGGGGGUGUUGUCCCCUAUGAUUGGCGAAGGACCGCCGCCCUCGGGUGGCGGGUUCUUUGAUAAAUCAACAUGGGGGUGAUCGGUUUCGACUGGGGAUGUCGAAGCAGGGGAAGCGAGCCGAGGAACGCGGCAAUGAUCUCGUAAACCAUGUGCCGCAAAAAAAUAAUCGCCAAGCCUAACAGCGAUUCCUUCGCCCUCGCUGCCUGAUCUAACAGUCAGCGACUUUGCGAAGUGUCGGCCCGGGAGUGUUCCCGACCCGGAUCCCGGCAUCAGCUAGGGAACUCCACCGCUAAGCCCGGCCACGGGGCGUAGCGGAAAAACCAACAGUGGCUGAGCCCGUCGAAGACUUGUCUGCGUGAUCUUCGGGGCCGAGAAAAGCACAGCAGACUGCGCUCGGAGAAGCCCUGGUUCCGCACCACAGGACGCGGGUUCGAUUCCCGCCACCUCCAC
Molecule: transfer-messenger RNA, 484 nt
Filed under: Wenjunlia tyrosinilytica
Lineage: Bacteria; Bacillati; Actinomycetota; Actinomycetes; Kitasatosporales; Streptomycetaceae
Rfam family: transfer-messenger RNA (bases 106-484)
About the family: Bacterial tmRNA, also known as 10Sa RNA or SsrA, is named for its dual tRNA and mRNA-like properties. Its role is to liberate the mRNA from a stalled ribosome.
Source: RNAcentral